This 214-nucleotide long non-coding RNA is filed under the name Elaeis guineensis (African oil palm). RNAcentral describes it as "long non-coding RNA (EGUI_LNC076607)". Lineage: Eukaryota; Viridiplantae; Streptophyta; Magnoliopsida; Arecales; Arecaceae. The record is from RNAcentral.
CACUGAAUAAAUGACUCAUCUUGAAUAAAUGAGUCACUGAAUAAAUGACUCACCUCAUGUUGUGAGAGAUACAUACAUGAAGUGUUUCAAUGAUCGCACGACUAUGCAUUGUAUUAUGAGGGCAGUUAUGAAUGACAAACUUAGCCAUAAGUUCGAGGAUGUGUAGCUAGAGAAGAUCAUUCAAAUGUUGAAUGAGUCCUUUGGCACCUCAGAG